AUUGAACGCUGGCGGCAUGCCUUACACAUGCAAGUCGAACGGCAGCACGGGUGCUUGCACCUGGUGGCGAGUGGCGAACGGGUGAGUAAUACAUCGGAACAUGUCCUGUAGUGGGGGAUAGCCCGGCGAAAGCCGGAUUAAUACCGCAUACGAUCUACGGAGGAAAGCGGGGGACCUUCGGGCCUCGCGCUAUAGGGUUGGCCGAUGGCUGAUUAGCUAGUUGGUGGGGUAAAGGCCUACCAAGGCGACGAGCAGUAGCUGGUCUGAGAGGGCGACCAGCCACACUGGGACUGAGACACGGCCCAGACUCCUACGGGAGGCAGCAGUGGGGAAUUUUGGACAAUGGGCGAAAGCCUGAUCCAGCAAUGCCGCGUGUGUGAAGAAGGCCUUCGGGUUGUAAAGCACUUUUGUCCGGAAAGAAAUCCUUGGCCCUAAUACGGUCGGGGGAUGACGGUACCGGAAGAAUAAGCACCGGCUAACUACGUG
RNAcentral lists this ribosomal RNA (486 nucleotides) under uncultured bacterium. RNAcentral's name for it is "partial 16S ribosomal RNA". It matches the Rfam family "Bacterial small subunit ribosomal RNA", at positions 29 to 507 of the family's 1533-position model. The record is from RNAcentral.